AGAGUUUGAUCCUGGCUCAGAUUGAACGCUGGCGGCAUGCCUUACACAUGCAAGUCGAACGGUAACGCGGGGCAACCUGGCGACGAGUGGCGAACGGGUGAGUAACGCAUCGGAACGUGCCCAGUAGUGGGGGAUAGCCCGGCGAAAGCCGGAUUAAUACCGCAUACGACCUACGGGUGAAAGCGGGGGACCGUAAGGCCUCGCGCUAUUGGAGCGGCCGAUGUCAGAUUAGGUAGUUGGUGGGGUAAAAGCCUACCAAGCCGACGAUCUGUAGCUGGUCUGAGAGGACGACCAGCCACACUGGGACUGAGACACGGCCCAGACUCCUACGGGAGGCAGCAGUGGGGAAUUUUGGACAAUGGGCGCAAGCCUGAUCCAGCCAUGCCGCGUGCGGGAUGAAGGCCUUCGGGUUGUAAACCGCUUUUGUCAGGGAAGAAACGCUCCGGGCCAAUACCCUGGGGUAAUGACGGUACCUGAAGAAUAAGCACCGGCUAACUACGUGCCAGCAGCCGCGGUAAUACGUAGGGUGCAAGCGUUAAUCGGAAUUACUGGGCGUANAGCGUGCGCAGGCGGUUUUGUA
RNAcentral lists this ribosomal RNA (580 nucleotides) under uncultured freshwater bacterium. RNAcentral describes it as "bacterial SSU rRNA". It matches the Rfam family "Bacterial small subunit ribosomal RNA", at positions 8 to 585 of the family's 1533-position model. The record is from RNAcentral.